GACGAACGCUGGCGGCGUGCUUAACACAUGCAAGUCGAACGGAAAGGCCCUGCUUUUGUGGGGUGCUCGAGUGGCGAACGGGUGAGUAACACGUGAGUAACCUGCCCUUGACUUUGGGAUAACUUCAGGAAACUGGGGCUAAUAUCGGAUAGGAGCUUUUGCUGCAUGGUGGGGGUUGGAAAGUUUCGGCGGUUUGGGAUGGACUCGCGGCUUAUCAGCUUGUUGGUGAGGUAGGGGCUUUCCAAGGUUUUGACGGGUAGGCGGCCUGAGAGGGUGACCGGCCACAUUGGGACUGAGAUACGGCCCAGACUCCUACGGGAGGCAGCAGUGGAGAAUAUUGCACAAUGGGCGGAAGCCAGAUGCAGCAACGCCGCGUGCGGAAUGACGGCCUUCGGGUUGUAAACCGCUUUCGCCUGUGACGAAGCGUGAGUGACGGUAAUGGGUAAGGAAGCACCGGCUAACUACGUG
Molecule: ribosomal RNA, 468 nt
Filed under: uncultured bacterium
Lineage: Bacteria
Description: partial 16S ribosomal RNA
Rfam family: Bacterial small subunit ribosomal RNA
Source: RNAcentral